GAUGAACGCUGGCGGCGUGCCUAAUACAUGCAAGUCGAGCGAACGGACGAGAAGCUUGCUUUUCUGAUGUUAGCGGCGGACGGGUGAGUAACACGUGGAUAACCUACCUAUAAGACUGGGAUAACUUCGGGAAACCGGAGCUAAUACCGGAUAAUAUUUUGAACCGCAUGGUUCAAAAGUGAAAGACGGUCUUGCUGUCACUUAUAGAUGGAUCCGCGAUGCAUUAGCUAGUUGGUAAGGUAACGGCUUACCAAGGCAACGAUGCAUAGCCGACCUGAGAGGGUGAUCGGCCACACUGGAACUGAGACACGGUCCAGACUCCUACGGGAGGCAGCAGUAGGGAAUCUUCCGCAAUGGGCGAAAGCCUGACGGAGCAACGCCGCGUGAGUGAUGAAGGUCUUCGGAUCGUAAAACUCUGUUAUUAGGGAAGAACAUAUGUGUAAGUAACUGUGCACAUCUUGACGGUACCUAAUCAGAAAGCCACGGCUAACUACGU
This 496-nucleotide ribosomal RNA is filed under the name uncultured bacterium. Its description in RNAcentral is "partial 16S ribosomal RNA". It matches the Rfam family "Bacterial small subunit ribosomal RNA", at positions 28 to 506 of the family's 1533-position model. The record is from RNAcentral.